AAAAUCCGUCGACUUUAGAAAUCGUGAGGGUUC
Molecule: transfer RNA, 33 nt
Filed under: Medicago sativa subsp. falcata (sickle medic)
Lineage: Eukaryota; Viridiplantae; Streptophyta; Magnoliopsida; Fabales; Fabaceae
Also listed under: 6 other names
Description: Medicago falcata (sickle medic) partial tRNA-Leu
Source: RNAcentral